Long non-coding RNA from Ipomoea triloba (trilobed morning glory), 1089 nucleotides. RefSeq lists it as uncharacterized. NCBI's taxonomy places the organism in Eukaryota, Viridiplantae, Streptophyta, Magnoliopsida, Solanales, Convolvulaceae. The record is from RefSeq and is a predicted model, not a curated record. The transcript is spliced from 2 exons.
UCACUCCAACCCAUUCUCUGGUAGAAGCAGUUGAAGCAGUCAGCAGAGCAAGAGAGCAGAGGCGGUGAGCGCAGCGACUAGAGAUGCAGAGGAGGCGGAGGCGCGGCGAUGGCAGAUGCGGAGGCGGGCGCGGCGAGGACAGAGACGGCGAGGUGGAGGUGGAGGCAGCCGACAGCGAGGCGGAGGCGGCGACUGGCGAGUUUUCGAACACAGUGCUGGUGAACAUAAAAUGUUUGAUUAUAUUUGAUUUCGUACAUAAAAUGUUUGGAAUUGAAUUGGUGAACAUACACAGUGUUGGUGUGCUGGCUUUCCAAUUUCUAAACUUUGGCAGGGAGGAAAGAAGAAAUGGAAAGAGGAUGAAGAAAACAAAGGGCAAAAUGGUCUUGCCAAAUUAACUUUUGUUCCCAACAGCAAAGGAAAAUAAAAUCCGAGGGUCUACCUCGGAUUUUGUUUUCCUGUAAAAUGAGGAAGUGCUUUUCCAUUGGAAUAUGAGUUCCAAUCAACCAAACAUGAGAAGAGAGUAAUUUCUUUGAGUUUUAGGAACUCACUUCCCAUGGAAAAAGAGUUCCUACCAACCAAACAUGCCCUUAUACAAAUCUUACUUUUGAGACAACCAAGUUCACAACGAACCAAGAAGUUCAGACACGUGUGGCAGCUAAAGUUGGUGAUAGCUCCAUGACUGCACUUCACAAACUUAUGGAACAACGCAACCAAUUUGAGUGCCACGUAUGUUUGCAAAAAUCUCGUCUUCCACUCGCGCAUGAAGCGUCUGGCAUUGGACUACUUCUUUGUUCGGGAUUUGGUUGCUAAUGGUACGCUGGUUGUGCAACAUAUUCACUCAAUUGCUCAGCUGACGGAUCUUCUUACCAAACCGCUUGGUCGUCACCUUUUUCUCCACUUCCGGUCCAAGAUUAUCUUGUGAGGGCGUGUUAAGCCUAUAUAUGGCUUCCUUAUAGUUUGUUAGCUCUAUUUCUAUUCCUGGAGACUAGCUUAGUUGUAACUUCUCACUUUUCGUUCUCCUUUGUACACUAUUUAUAAUGGGUUAACCUUUCAGUAUUGAAUAUAACUUACAAUCAGUUUAUACUCUAA